RNAcentral lists this ribosomal RNA (425 nucleotides) under uncultured bacterium. RNAcentral describes it as "bacterial SSU rRNA". It matches the Rfam family "Bacterial small subunit ribosomal RNA", at positions 354 to 796 of the family's 1533-position model. The record is from RNAcentral.
GUGGGGAAUAUUGGACAAUGGGCGCAAGCCUGAUCCAGCCAUGCCGCGUGAGUGAUGAAGGCCUUCGGGUUGUAAAGCUCUUUAGCCGAUGAUUAUAAUGACUGUAGUCGGAAAAUAAGCCCCGGCUAACUUCGUGCCAGCAGCCGCGGUAAUACGAAGGGGGCGAGCGUUAUUCGGAAUCACUGGGCGUAAAGCGUGCGUAGGCGGCUUUGCAAGUUGGGAGUGAAAGCCCAGGGCUCAACCCGUGAAGUGCUCUCAAAACUGCAAGGCUCGAAUUCGGGAGAGGAUAGCGGAAUUGUCAGUGUAGCAGUGAAAUGCGUAGAUAUUGACAGGAACACCAGUGGCGUAAGCGGCUAUCUGGACCGAUAUUGACGCUGAGGCACGAAAGCGUGGGGAUCAAACAGGAUUAGAAACCCCUGUAGUCC